This 479-nucleotide long non-coding RNA is filed under the name Homo sapiens (human). Its description in RNAcentral is "HSALNT0395739". Lineage: Eukaryota; Metazoa; Chordata; Mammalia; Primates; Hominidae. The record is from RNAcentral.
CGGCUUCCUCCUCCCAGUGUGCGAGGGAGGCCGGGAGGGGUCCCUGGGCGGGGAGUUGCUGCGCAUCUGUUGUGUGCUGUGUCUGCCUGUCUCUCUGUCUGGGUCUCUUUCAGGCUGCGUCGGUCUGUCUGUCUGGGUCUGUUUCAGGCUGUGUCUGUCUGUCUGUCUGGGUCUGUUUCAGGCUGUGUCUGUCUGUCUGUCCGGGUCUGUUUCAGGCUGUGUCUGUCUGUCUGUCCGGGUCUGUUUCAGGCUGUGUCUGUCUGUCUGUCCGGGUCUGUUUCAGGCUGUGUCUGUCUGUCUGUCCGGGUCUGUUUCAGGCUGUAUGUGUGUCUGCUCUUUGCUUCUGCUCCUGGCUCUGUGUGUAUUUCCCGGGUCCUGUGGCCCUCUUUGCCUUGUGUCUGAGUGUCGGUUCCUGCGUGGGCCUCAGUCAGGCCCUGGGUGGGUAGCUGCCCAGUGCAGCAUCCCCAAGGCACCCCUGG